This 305-nucleotide ribosomal RNA is filed under the name uncultured bacterium. RNAcentral's name for it is "bacterial SSU rRNA". It matches the Rfam family "Bacterial small subunit ribosomal RNA", at positions 338 to 657 of the family's 1533-position model. The record is from RNAcentral.
CCUACGGGGGGCAGCAGUGGGGAAUAUUGGGCAAUGGGCGCAAGCCUGACCCAGCAACGCCGCGUGAAGGAAGAGGGCUUUCGGGUUGUAAACUUCUUUUAUGAGGGACGAAACAAAUGACGGUACCUCAUGAAUAAGCCACGGCUAACUACGUGCCAGCAGUCGCGGUAAUACGUAGGUGGCAAGCGUUAUCCGGAUUUACUGGGUGUAAAGGGCGUGUAGGCGGGACUGCAAGUCAGAUGUGAAAAUUAUGGGCUCAACCCAUAACCUGCAUUUGAAACUGUAGUUCUUGAGUGAUGGAGAGG